This 876-nucleotide long non-coding RNA is filed under the name Salmo salar (Atlantic salmon). Its description in RNAcentral is "lncRNA (ENSSSAG00000098962.1)". Lineage: Eukaryota; Metazoa; Chordata; Actinopteri; Salmoniformes; Salmonidae. The record is from RNAcentral.
GUACAAAACAACUCAUGCUUUUUUUUCAAUAACAUUUUCCGCAACAUUGUUCUGAAAUAAAUUCUCAGUGAAAUGUGAACAUUUGAUUGAUUAAUUUAAUUUAUUGAAAAAGUUUCAAAUUCAGUCUGUAAGACAACAAAAUGUGUAAAAAUUCAAGGUGUGUGAAUACUUUCUGAAGGCAUUGUAUAUGAAAUGGGAAGGCCAUUGUGCAAACAUUGUGCAAACACCUGUAAUCUCAGAAAUAGCCGUCUGUCUGUCGUGGGUUAUCAAACAGUAUGCUGUUAUUCCUGUUUGAAGACAGGAAAGUGAUCCUGAAGAUUAAAAUAGUGUUCUUCAAUUAUUUUAAUGCCUAAUCUUUUACGUGAAGUGUGUAGUGAUUUUACAAAUACAUUUAGCUCUGUCAGGAAACUGAACAGACAGGCAAGAUGGAACACGCAUCCACACCCGACACACCCACAUCCUGUUUGAUCACCUGAUUAAGCUGAUAAAUACCCAACAGUACUCCCAAGUGAACAACACGUUAUGGAAAUUUUUGACAUAAACUGGUGUUCAAAGAUUAUCCUUUUCAGUAGAGUCACAUCUAGAACUUAUCCGGGCGUUUUAAUACAAACAUUUGCGGAGUUGGAGCGUGAUGAGGACUCCCCCAUCUCAUCCCACCAACUCUGUCAGUCCAGCAGGCCCCACAAUGCAGCCUCCACACCACUGCAGUAACAGCCACAUCUUCCCAUCACAAUGCUUCAGUACUAUCUCAAUGUGUUGAAGUACCAUCCAGGAUCCUGUGUUAACGUCAAUGUGAAACAGCAUUGACCCGUGAUCACCACCAACCAGGGCUCCACAGCGGUAUCCUUGGACACCCAGUGAAUCCAGAGAGAGCAC